This is a long non-coding RNA of Bradysia coprophila, 132 nucleotides long. Lineage: Eukaryota; Metazoa; Arthropoda; Insecta; Diptera; Sciaridae. The record is from RefSeq and is a predicted model, not a curated record.
UUGUUUUAGUUUUCAUGCCUUCUUAGGCAUAAAUUUAAGAUUUGUUCUCGAAAUUUAGGCUCGGCAUGAAAAGUUGGAUACUCAUCUGUUGUGGACGGUUUAUUUUAGGCACUUUCACUUGUCGCUCACACC